GAGUGUUCAAUUGAUUUUCGCCGUUGUCAGCGUAAUGGCGUUUGCCAUAGUGUGUACAGAAACACAUGUGUGGUGUAAUUUGUGUAGUGCUGAUUCGUGUGCAUUGUAUGUUGGGAUGCACGCACAAGCUCAUUGUUGUUCCUGGUAUCCCGCUGAGUGUAAUGAUGCUUGACCGUCCUUGACAUAGACGUCUGAUAGCGUAAUAGUAUGCUCAGUAUCUGCUCUUCAUCACAUUCAUGCUGCACCGUCCCGAUUUACAGCAGGAACCCAAACUGACAGGUUGCCUGACCAUCAUACCAGAUACUCUCGGAAGAAGGUACCCUGUUGGCCAGUGCCGAUGAUGUAACGACCUUUGCUUGAAAUGGUACCAGGCGAGGAUCGAACCCGAGAUACUGUGGUUACUACUGUCUAUGCUUUAUGGGAGUUGUUAGCGGAACGGACAGUCCUCUGACUUUGGAUAGUGUUGGGGUUAUAUCAACUGAAUGAAUUCAGCAGUAGUAAAAGAGUAGGCCAGACGACCA
Lineus longissimus is the source of this 521-nucleotide long non-coding RNA. RefSeq lists it as uncharacterized. The transcript has 2 exons. The record is from RefSeq and is a predicted model, not a curated record. NCBI's taxonomy places the organism in Eukaryota, Metazoa, Nemertea, Pilidiophora, Heteronemertea, Lineidae.